AUGGAAGGGCCAUCGCUCAACGGAUAAAAGGUACUCCGGGGAUAACAGGCUGAUACCGCCCAAGAGUUCACAUCGACGGCGGUGUUUGGCACCUCGAUGUCGGCUCAUCUCAUCCUGGGGCUGAAGCAGGUCCCAAGGGUUUGGCUGUUCGCCAAUUAAAGAGGUACGCGAGCUGGGUUCAGAACGUCGUGAGACAGUUUGGAUUUUAUCUUCCGUGGGCGCAGGAAAAUUGAAAGGAUCUGUCCCUAGUACGAGAGGACCGGGAUGGACGAACCUCUGGUGAACCUGUUGUCACGCCAGUGGCACGGCAGGGUAGCUAUGUUCGGAAUGGAUAACCGCUGAAAGCAUCUAAGUGGGAAGCCAACCUUAAGAUUAGUUUUCCCAGUCUUUAAGACUGUUAAGACCGCUCCGAGACUAGGAGCUUGAUAGGCAGGGCGUGUAAGCAUAGUAAUGUGUUUAGCUUACCUGUACUAAUAGGUCGUCCGAUUUUCAUUC
This 495-nucleotide ribosomal RNA is filed under the name Pseudobdellovibrionaceae bacterium. Its description in RNAcentral is "Bdellovibrionaceae bacterium partial 23S ribosomal RNA". It matches the Rfam family "Bacterial large subunit ribosomal RNA", at positions 2433 to 2925 of the family's 2925-position model. Lineage: Bacteria; Pseudomonadati; Bdellovibrionota; Bdellovibrionia; Bdellovibrionales; Pseudobdellovibrionaceae. The record is from RNAcentral.